RNAcentral lists this transfer RNA (61 nucleotides) under Trimeresurus erythrurus. RNAcentral describes it as "tRNA-His". The record is from RNAcentral. Lineage: Eukaryota; Metazoa; Chordata; Lepidosauria; Squamata; Viperidae.
GUGUGUGUAAUUUAAAAAAAAUAUCAAGUUGUGACCUUGAAAAUAGACGCCCUCACAUACC